GGGGGCGUAAAGGUUUCGACGGGGAAUCCGAGGCUAGGUAAGCGGGUAGAGUGGGCGAAAACUCUUAAAAAGUCGCACCUAAAUAUAAACGCUAAGAAUAAUAAUUCUCAGUUAGCUUUUGCUGCUUAAUUAAAGCGGCACGUCUGGCCGUGGGGGACCACGGACGCGGCUGGAUGUCCAAUGAGUGGUGAACGUUGCCUGGGGGUGCCUAGUCCCAGGUAAUGUACGAUAGGCUACCGCGGGGCGACUGUCUGUCCGCCGUCACGUCCCGCGGGAACCCUGACGACGGUCUGCACCCGGAGAAAGCUUAGUCAAAGGUUUUUCGGACGCGGGUUCAACUCCCGCCGCCUCCACCA
Molecule: transfer-messenger RNA, 356 nt
Filed under: chicken gut metagenome
Rfam family: transfer-messenger RNA
About the family: Bacterial tmRNA, also known as 10Sa RNA or SsrA, is named for its dual tRNA and mRNA-like properties.
Source: RNAcentral